GAUGACAAACUGUUGCAGUAGUACAUUAAAGUAAAUAAGUUCAAAGGGGCGUAACUCCUAGAAAAAAAAUUGAAUCGCAAUUUCCCGUCGAUUUGCACAACUACAUAGUAUGUCCUUAUUAUCUGAAAAGGUUUCGUGAAAUUCUGUUGUGUGGUUUGAGAGGAGUUGCGAUGACAAACUGUUGCAGUAGUACAUUAAAGUAAAU
This 205-nucleotide long non-coding RNA is filed under the name Mytilus galloprovincialis (Mediterranean mussel). Lineage: Eukaryota; Metazoa; Mollusca; Bivalvia; Mytilida; Mytilidae. The record is from RNAcentral.